AAACUAAACUACAAUAGACCUCGUAAUCCACUAUCUAUCUGUGUUGAAGUUUCCGUUUUGACUCACCAUCUGUUCCUGCACUUGUCCUGGAAAGCAAAAAAUCUGUCAGAGACAUGUGAAAGUCGGUACUGGGAUUGUAGAUUUUAAGGUGAGUUGUGAAGUAACUUAGUUUCCAGGCCUCAAUGAGCAUGACUGAAUUACAACUUUCGAACUGUAUAAUGUGUGGAAUCUCAGCAAGUAAGGUCCACUUGUUUACAUUGUUCCUGUUUCAACCGACCAGCCUGACUUUGCAAACUGUGUUGCUUUAUCCUAGCUGUGCCACGUUAGCCCAGCAAAAAUACAAGAUAAAUCCAUGACUUUUAUCCUAACAUCACAUUGAAAAGAAAGAUUCGAGAAAACAUGAAGAGUCACAGAUGUACUUGCACAAACGAUUCAAAAUGAUUACUUCGAAUAUUA
Molecule: long non-coding RNA, 456 nt
Organism: Limulus polyphemus (Atlantic horseshoe crab)
Lineage: Eukaryota; Metazoa; Arthropoda; Merostomata; Xiphosura; Limulidae
Exons: 4
Source: RefSeq, a predicted model, not a curated record